AUUGAACGCUGGCGGCAUGCCUUACACAUGCAAGUCGAACGGCAGCACGGGGGCAACCCUGGUGGCGAGUGGCGAACGGGUGAGUAAUGCAUCGGAACGUGCCCAGUAGUGGGGGAUAACUAGUCGAAAGAUUAGCUAAUACCGCAUACGACCUACGGGUGAAAGCGGGGGAUGCAGCACUUAAUGUUUUGGGAUGGCUACUUGUGGCCGCCUCGGGACAGUCUCAGGUGAGAACAUUAAGUGCUGCACCUCGCGCUAGUGGAGCGGCCGAUGUCUGAUUAGCUAGUUGGCGGGUAAANCCCACAAGGCGACGAUCAGUAGCUGGUCUGAGAGGACGACCAGCCACACUGGGACUGA
This 357-nucleotide ribosomal RNA is filed under the name uncultured bacterium. RNAcentral's name for it is "bacterial SSU rRNA". It matches the Rfam family "Bacterial small subunit ribosomal RNA", at positions 30 to 322 of the family's 1533-position model. The record is from RNAcentral.